CUUCAACGAUCCCAGCCACAGCGGCUCACCCGCGCGGCCCUGACCGUAGGUGGCCAGCAGCGCCUGCGCCUC
This 72-nucleotide antisense RNA is filed under the name Saccharothrix sp. ALI-22-I. RNAcentral's name for it is "ASpks TB sRNA". It matches the Rfam family "ASpks TB sRNA". Lineage: Bacteria; Bacillati; Actinomycetota; Actinomycetes; Pseudonocardiales; Pseudonocardiaceae. The record is from Rfam by way of RNAcentral.